CAGCCGCGGUAAUACGGAGGGAGCGAGCGUUGUUCGGAAUUACUGGGCGUAAAGCGUGCGCAGGCGGCUUUGUAAGUCAGAAGUGAAAUCCCAGGGCUUAACCUUGGAAUUGCUUUUGAAACUGCUAAGCUUGAGUAUCGGAGAGGUUGGCGGAAUUCCCAGUGUAGAGGUGAAAUUCGUAGAUAUUGGGAGGAACACCAGUGGCGUAAGCGGCCAACUAGACGAUAACUGACGCUCAGGCACGAAAGCGUGGGGAUCAAACAGGAUUAGAUACCCUGGUAGUCCACGCUGUAAACGAUGUGUGCUAGCUACUGGGCAGUUUACUGUUCGGUGGCGCAGCUAACGCACUAAGCACACCGCCUGGGGAGUACGGUCGCAAGAUUAAAACUCAAAGGAAUUGACGGGGACCCGCACAAGCGGUGGAGCAUGUGGUUUAAUUCGACGCAACGCGAAGAACCUUACCAGGCCUUGACAUCCCGGUCGCGGGGAGCAGAGACGCUCUCCUUCAGUUCGGCUGGACCGGUGACAGGUGCUGCAUGGCUGUCGUCAGCUCGUGUCGUGAGAUGUUGGGUUAAGUCCCGCAACGAGCGCAACCCUUAUCUCCUGUUGCCAUCAUUAAGUUGGGCACUCAGGCGAAACUGCCGGUGAUAAGCCGGAGGAAGGUGGGGACGACGUCAAGUCAUCAUGGCCCUUACGGCCUGGGCUACACACGUGCUACAAUGGCGGUCACAGUGGGCAGCUAAGUCGCGAGACUAUGCUAAUCUCCAAAGACCGUCUCAAUUCGGAUUGUUCUCUGCAACUCGAGAGCAUGAAGCCGGAAUCGCUAGUAAUCGUGGAUCAGCAUGCCACGGUGAAUACGUUCCCGGGUCUUGU
This 873-nucleotide ribosomal RNA is filed under the name uncultured Alphaproteobacteria bacterium. RNAcentral describes it as "bacterial SSU rRNA". It matches the Rfam family "Bacterial small subunit ribosomal RNA", at positions 512 to 1384 of the family's 1533-position model. The record is from RNAcentral. Lineage: Bacteria; Pseudomonadati; Pseudomonadota; Alphaproteobacteria.